UUUUUCCUUUUCUUAUCUUUUUUUUUUUCUUUCCCCCCUAUUUUUACUACUACCAUAAUAAAAAUAGGCGUUUCGGGAAAAUAAAGAAAAGAACGUUUGUAGCGAGUAUCCGUUCACCUUGUUUGUUAUUAUAAUAAACUUA
RNAcentral lists this non-coding RNA (142 nucleotides) under Aurantiochytrium limacinum. The record is from RNAcentral. Lineage: Eukaryota; Bigyra; Thraustochytrida; Thraustochytriidae.